UGCUUGUCAUUCGUUGACUGAUAUUUAAUUGGUUUUGUUUUUGUUCAGGAAAAAUGUGACUUUUUUGUGUUCUGCCACUUGAUUGGAUGGUGGGCCAAGGCGCUGAUGAUCCGGGAUUGGUGGUUGUGUACUGUAAUUAGUGUUUUAUUUGAGAUUCUUGAAUAUACGCUGGAACAUCAACUGCCGAAUUUCUGUGAGUGCUGGUGGGACCAUUGGAUAAUGGACGUGUUGAUAUGUAAUGGUUUUGGAACAUACCUUGGGAUGAAGACUUGUGACUACCUGGCUAUCAAGCCAUUUCAUUGGAGGGGGUUGUACAAUAUCCCCACGUACCGGUAAGCUGGUUAUGUUAUGAUUGAGUGUUUGAACAGUUAGAAAUAGUGAGGGAAAUUAUAUAGAACCACCAUUGAUCCACCUUAGUCCAUCUAAUUUCCUCGUCAUCAUCAUGAUUAACACCACCACCACCCCCAACU
Long non-coding RNA from Actinia tenebrosa (Australian red waratah sea anemone), 470 nucleotides. The record is from RefSeq and is a predicted model, not a curated record. Lineage: Eukaryota; Metazoa; Cnidaria; Anthozoa; Actiniaria; Actiniidae.